CCCCCGCAGGCCCUCAGAGGGGCUUCAGCAGCACCGGUCCAGCCUAAGGCUAUCCAUAGAGCUGGCCAAGUUCCCGGCGUGGUCACGGAUGCGCUGCGAGGCUCUCUCCUUCCUCCUCUUCUCUGCCUCUUCCUUCUUCCUGGCUAAUCGAGGCUACUGCUGCUGCAGUGUGGAAAGGGUGUCCUUUCGUGCUCAUGCAAAAGUCCCUGUUCUCCUCCAAAAGUAUCUCCGGGGCCCUGGGUUUCCAAAUCUCAGUUUCCGAGGAGGCGACAAAGCAGUAGCAGCAGCUGGCGAACGAAUUUUACCAGGUUGCCCCUGACUCAGAUGGGGCAAGCAGGGAAGGCAGUUCCUCUCUCCCGCUCUUCUCCACUGCUCGGCGGAUCACUUCCUAGAGUUGGAUCCUGUAGGGCCCGCAGCGCAGCCCUGAGGGAAGCAGGCACAGAGACUAUGGGGAGAGGAGUCUUGCUGGACUGGCCGAGUCUCAGAGGCCACGGGAAGGGGAAUCUACCAGUCACAGUGAAAACACCUCCAUACGAUUCUCCCCUCCCCCUCUCUUCUUCCCUCUUCCCUCCCCCCAACUACCCCCCCCCCCCCCGGUUUUGAUUCUUGGGUCUUUUUUUUUCCCCCUUUAAUGCUUUGAGGGGUUGGGGAUUUGUUUGUUUCUGCCUGUCCUUGAAUGUGAUUUUUGCCGCUAAGAACUCGUUCGCGUUCCCGUUCCUCUUCUCUCUUCUUGGAUCCUUUGACGUUCAGAGCGAUAUCAGCGCAUCCAUUUUUCCUGGCCGCUUUCUUGCGUCCUCUGGGGCUCGGAAGGCGCCGGGGCCGCAACCGCUUUUCAGGGAGGCAGACCGCUUGGUUCUGCUGAUUGGGCCUGGCUUGCCUGAAUCGGGGAUAAGCUCGCGAUCCGUAGAGGUAGAGGCGGCGGCGGCAGCAGCGAAAGUUCUGGUGGCGACUUUCUUGGGCUGGUGGCGGUGCCGGGAACAAGCCGAUUUCCCCAGCAAGAACUCCAUGUACAGCUACAUCUUUAGGGCAGCUCGGGUUAAUAUAUGUCGUCAGAGGCUGUCCACGCCAAUAGCGGCGAGGCAGGGGCGGUGCCUUGGGCUCUCCGCAAUAAAACUUUUUGAUGUUCACGUUGCUAAUUGCUGAAGUCCUCUUUUAGGAUUGGCUAUCCUUUCAUAUCCAUAAGAUAAUUAAAACGAAGGGGAUUUUUUUAACUUUUUUUUUUAAUCAGCCAGUGGUUAAUGCAACAGUUUAGCAGAUGCUUUACUAUUUUAAAAAAAAAAAAUAUCCUCUAAAAUAACCGGAUCUUCUCAAGCCAGGGGACACCAAGAAGACCCGCAAAUGGGUUUGCUCCGGCUUGCGGAAUGUUUAAAAACUCGGCACUUCGUUCCCCUCGAAUCAGUGGUGUGGCCAAUAUCGGUUUUCUGCCAGUUUAACUAGCCUGUUUGUGAAGCAUUCCUUGAUAACGUUAUUGUCCCAGUAUCUACCUUCUACUACUCAAACCUUGGUCACCAGAAAUCUGGAGGAAGGCUGGCCAUCUUGGAUGCCUCUGAAUCAGGGAAAAUAAGGCUUGUGGUGACCAGAGAGAACGUGUCUACACUGACUUUAGCAAGGGGUGAGCCAUCUAAUCUUCUCUACACUUCUGUGGGACUAUAACGCAUGAAAAAGUAUUGAAGUGAACUGACCUUUUUGUUACUUAGACCUUUCAAGGGCUUGUCCACUCUGGUUGAAGCACAACACCAGCAAGGGCAACAUUUACCUCCUGUCAGGAGGAAACCACUCGAAGUUUGAUUGAGGAAGUAGUUGUGAUUUUGCAAACACACCGUUUAUCUGUCGAAAGUAGCGGAUUUCAAUUAGAUUGCGGCGAAGACUCCAUGACAAUAUUCAUUUACAAGAGAAGUGCACCUUAAAGGAAGGAGCUUUGCAGUAAUCUGAAUAACGGAGUCAACUUGCUUCUGAAUACCGAAUUUAAGGUCGCAUUUACAUUUCUAACUCCCAGCAUUGCCUGCCAUCCUGGGGAAUAGUGUUUUGCAGCCUUCUUUGUAACUCCACGUGGAUGGGAUUUCUACAGGAUGGUUUUUUUCCCCCCAAACAUUUUUUUCCCCUUGCAAGUUAUAGGGGACUUCUUGUACAGAAAAACGACUUUAGACAGGGUUGUUAGGUUUCAAGUUAACAAAAAGAAACACUUUUAUUGUCAAUAUUAAUGGAAAAACUCGAUUUUUUACGAGGUUUGGGUUUAGCAGCGUGCAUAGAUCAAAAGCAGCCUGGUUUGAUUUUCAAAUAUUCUCUGGAGCUUAGACAAUUACCUGUAAUUUUGCUUCCAACGACACAACACAAAAAUGUUAGUUAUGUAAAUGUUACUGCCAUGGGGGGUGGGGGUGUGUGAGAAUGGAGCAGGCAGAACUCUCUACCUGUUUCUGCAACGUCAGAUUCUAAUAAAUUUUUUCCAUAGAACCUGAGUUCAGUUUUUUAAGGCAUCCUUCUAAUAUAGAUAAUCUUGUGAUCGGUUUAUUGACAAUUGCACCCUACUCCUUACUCUGUAGCUGUAUACAUCCCACUAUCAGCACAUAUAUCCAAAGGUAAUGAAUCUGGCUGAGUGAGGUCUUUUUUGGUAAUUUGGAUACACCAAGUCUCCAGUUAAUGACAUAUAAUCAGCCUUUGGGUCAUUUGGUCAUUCUCUUAUUACAAACCCCUCCUGCUCUCUCUGAUCUCCUUUCAAACUAAAUUUCACACAAACAAAUAAAGCAAGACAGGGACAAGUCCUUUAAAAAAGGGAGAAUAUUAGAAACGCCUGAUACACAACUCCAAACACGGAAAGGAAAACUCAAAGAGAAUAGGAAAGAACAUCUUAUCAAAAAGAGCAUGUUGUGUACAAAACAUUAAAAGAAAAUGCUCUGGUUUAUGUUAAAGUGACAGAAAAUUAAAAUAAAAAUAAUUGCAAACAGAAAAGUCAUAAUAUAAACAGAGAAGGCAGAAUGCUGGCUAGAAAUGCGUGAGGAGGAUAAUUUGUUGUUUUAGAUUAUGUAUCUGAAAUGUGAUUGGUGAGGCGUUGCUUUGUUCCAUUUUCCAAAGAGUGAGAGAGGGAAAAAAAAGAGAUGGCUUUCUCUUUAGUGCGUGUGUGAGCCCGCACAAGUUAACACAGGCCAAGACCCCAAGGAAAGAAAAAGUGACCCAGCUGUUCCUGCAUUACAAAGCCUUCGUCUCUCCCUCCCUGCGCCCCCCCCCCCCCCAGCGAAAGAAUUAGUUAUAUAAAAAUGCAUAAUUCUUUGGAGGAGUACACCAACUCAAUCUCAGAUUUUUCUGCUUGAAGUUCCUAAGAUUAUAUUAUCCUGGAGAUCUUAAGUUUGAUCCUGUCUGAGGCCAUCACUUACCUAAGGUCCCCACUUUUCUUUCUAUGAAGUUCCUAACUCUAGAAAUAGUGUAUUUCAAGCUGUCUAGUACACAUUUAGAAAAGAAGACCAUUGACUUUUGCCACCAUCUUAUCCUAGUAACUAUGCGACCAGUAUUUGGUCUAGCUGAAAACAAUUCUACAUUCAAAAACUCCAAAGAUAAGUUAACUGUCCUCAAUUCCUCUCUAAAUCCUGUCUCAUUUCCUUGGAUCCUCUUCUCACCUUUAGACAGCUGUUGCCCCAUAUACAAACUUCUGAAAAGUACAGUGGAGCUGAGAAGAUAGCUUGAGAAGCAACUGGAUAAAUCUCCCCAAACAAGAUGGAAAAGUCUUGAAUGAGACCAUUUGAGUAUAACCCCAUGUAUAGGCGUGUAACCCUUUUUGGUCCAUGGGCAAGUUAAGCAGCCCUAUGAUUUUAGCUGACUCAUGAAUGCAGUUUAGCCUACAUUUAAAAGUUUGGCCAAAAUAUUCUUAGCUUCCAGAGCCGACUUAUUAAAAUAUUUAAGCCCUCUGUUUAUAAACACUGAUCACUUGGGACUAUGCAUUAAAAUCACCUCCUUCUUGUUGGAUCCACUGAAAAAAUGGGUGUUGGACCUGACUAGGUUUUACUGCCAUUUCUUUUUUGGGACCACUGAGUCCAGCUGACUUUCCUUUUUUAAUUUCAUGAGCCGGAAUGAACCAGAAUUCCCGCCUUUAAUUUCUACCAUCCUCAAUUCUUUCUUUCUCCAUAUUCACAAGAGAAAUGCUAGAUGAAUUGACAGGCAGAUUUAGGAGGGAAUAAGAAAGGUAGAGAAAGAGAGGCAUAGAGAAGCAGAGACAGAGACAAACAAUUUGAGGAGGGAGAUACAAGUAGGCAAAGAAAGGAAAAAGUAAGACAAGAACCACAUGGGGAAGGGAAAACGACAGAGAAGUAGAGAAGGUCUGAGACUUAGAAUCGCACGCAUCUUUUUUGGGGGGCGGGAGCGGGGGAAGACUUUCAACUCUCACCAGCAAAGCACACCCAGAGCUUUUUCCAGAGGAGUCAGUGUUGAGUACCCUCAUGUUAGAUCUCCUGCCCUAACCGUUACCCUGUUUUGCCCUAGCCAUUUGGGCAUACAAGACUAGGCUCGAUGGUCUUUUGAUUUCUCUCUCUGCCGGGCCAAAAAAGAGAAAAGGACAAUGACAAAGAUAGAGGGGUUUAGUCUCCAGAUUAGAUUUGCAACCAUUUGGUUGGUAUAUCUAUUAUAGAGCAUUUGAUUAAAGUGCUUAAGACAUCUUUAGUCCCUCCUGAUUUGAUUGCAGUCCAUUUUCACCCUGCCCCCACCGGCCCUGAAAAAAAUUUGAUGGUACAUCGACCCAUCAGUCUCAAGUCCUGACUUCACCAGUUAGUUGUAUGAGGAAGAGGGAUGAGGUGGCCCUCAGAACAUCCUUAGCUGCCGAGAGAACUUGCCAAGGAAGGAAGAAUUCAGUAUACAAAUAAAUCCACACACUGUCGCUCGGAUUUAGACCUGCGGAUUCCCCGCCAAUCCCAUAUCAUUUAGGUUUUGGGACCCUUUUUUGUCCUGAUGAAAUUCUCAUUUUUGCCACGGAGGAGCCCCUUUUUCUUUCUACCAGGCCCGCGGGGGGUGGGGAGGGAAGGAAGGGGGCGGAGAAAUCCUUUUUCCUCUUCUGCUUUCAAGUUUUUUUUUUUUUUGUUGUUUUUUUUUUUAAGCAGGGGGUGGGUAGGAAGGGGUUAACUAUUUCUCCCUCCGCCUCUUUGGCUCUAGCUGCACCCCCUCGAAUGCCACUGCUUUCCUCUAGAGGUCUCAUUAGGGAAACCCUCACCGCUAUUUUCAACAUUUCCUCAAUCAAGUGCCUUUAAAUAUAGCUGCACAAACAAAUUGGCGGCAAAAAGCGUAGAUCUUGUCACGAUUGAGACCAAUCCAAUAUUUCAGCCUUGUUUGCUUUGUAAUUACUGGUUGGUUUGUGGCUCCGGUGCCACUGGGGCAAAUCGGCCGAGGGCCCAGUAGCAGCGGGAAGAGCUUCGGUUGCCCCAGAGAGGACUGACUGAUUGCCCUGGUGCCCACCCCCUUAGACUUCGGGCGGAUGCAAGAGGGGGUGAUGAUCUCCCUGAGAGCGAGGGGGGUUGUGUAUGGUAGGGACACUCGUCCUCAUUUGUGAAGAAAUCCACUGGACUUUAACCUCCCCCCCCCCCCCCCCAAGCCCAACCUUUCCUCCCUCUCCCCAAGAAAACCUUUUUUCCUAGCCAUUCUAAUAUUCUAAUACAUUCGUAUUGGUCUUGUUUCCCCCCUUUGGAUUUUGGCAGUGGGGGUUCUUUCUUCCUUCUCCCUCCCCAGUCUAAUCUUUACAGGAUUCUGCCCCCCCCAACUGUUGGUAUGAUUUGUUUUAUUUUCCACAGCUGCUUAUUCUUGUUUGACUUUUUGUCCAAAGCCACUUUAAAUCUGCUGCAGGAAGAAUAAAACUCGCAGCUCUUUGGAUGGGUUUCUGCAUGCAUGUGGCUGCCCCUGGCCCACUUUAAUUCCUGCCUAAUAGCUCUUCUGUAUAAAUCAGACCUGGGAUAUGUUUGGUCACUGUGCAAGCAGCCGCUAGUUUGUAUCAGCAAAACAGUAGUUAACUCAAAUCAUGUCCUAAGCCUUAUAUUUCACAGACAAUUAAACCUUGGCUGCUAUUUAACAAAGCUGUAAUAUUUAUUCUGUUCUAUUCUGAAGACCAUUUUUAAAGUCCAAAGCAAAUACUACAUUUCAAGAAGAAAAUAUAGUAAUAAAUCUCUUUUUAUGGAUUCUCUCUCCAUAAGAGGAAAACAAAAUGAUUUAACUCCGCCCACUCCAGCUGAAGUUAUAAAGAUAAUUAUCAAUGAACACACUUUAUAUUCAAAUGGAAUUAAUAUUGAAUAGGACCUGUAUGCAUGUUAUAUUUUAUUUCUUUGCAAGUGCUCUUAUCAUUUCUGAGUCUCAUGUAGAUAGAUAUUCUAAAGUUUAUCAUGUCUGAGCUAUGAGUUUUUUUACAUAGGGUACAGGGAUAGAGGGGGAUGAACAUUGUUAUAGGGAUGAUUAUUUCAGGAUCACUUUCUAAUAGACAUACUUAUUUCAAAGGUAGGUAUUUUUUAAAAUAGGAAUCUUUAGAGUAUUUCCUUAUUUUUUUAUUUUUAAUUUUUUGCCAUUUAACUUAAGAAUCAGAAAAGUGUGGAUGAAACAUAGUAAAACCACAGAAGAAGAAAAUGGAACCAUUAAUGAGAAGAAAUCCUAUUAUUUUAGUCAAUAGUAAAUUAUUUUAUUUCAUGGUUUUAUUCCCCCCCCAAAAAAAAGUUUUAGAAAUUCUAGCUAGUUACUUCUCAAUAAUUUUGCAUUCUUCCUGUCUUAUUUGGAUUGUUGUUUAAACAGUUUGAAUUUGAUGCACAUUUCAUAAAUUGUAGUUGUCAAAACUUCAAGGGAAUAAAUUAUAAUUAUUAGUAGAAUACAGAGAUAAGCCUGGCUGGCUGACCUCUCAUAUUUUCUAUGCCAUCUUCUUAUAGGUUGGUGGCACUAGUAUUUAGGGAAAGGGGAAGCAACAACUUCAAGAGAUGAUUUUUUUUUCACGAGAAUUUUCUUUACUCAAGAGUUGUUCUGGAAUAUUAUUAAAAAUUAAAAAAAAUUUGAGUGUAAUUUUCAUUGUGCUAAUCUGUUUAGUAUUAUAUUCUGAAUUUCUUAACUAUUAAAAUGCUUUGCCAUAUUACUUUCAAAUGAAGGAUCUUAGAUAAUUAUGAAAAUUUUGAUGUUAAUGCUUUGUUAAGUGAAAAACGGGAAAUGAUGUAUUGGAAUCUUUAAAAUAUCUUUAUGCUUUUAUACACUAGGAAAAACACACACACAUGAUUAUGGUUGGGGAUGUGUAUGCCAUUCCUCUGAAGUUGCUCUACAAGAAUAUAAAUAUAUUUACUCUUUAAAAAAAGGGGGGCAGUUUUCAAUUAUUUUUUAACAGAAAACUUUCAAUACAACACUGUGUUUAGUAAUGCCAUAAACCACAGCCACUUUCUACUGACAGCUACAAGAUUUUUCUUCAUUACUCUUCAUUACUCCGUUUGCAAACGAAGAUAGAGUGCCAUUCUAAAACAUCAAAAUAGGCAGAGUAACCAUUAUAUUUUACAUAUUCAUUUAUAUAGGUUAAUGCUCUUACAAUGAAAAACAUAUGCUGAGCAUGUAAAUGCUCCUUUUAGAAAUGCUUUUUUCGAUGCACAAUUAUUAUUAUUUUAAAAAUCAACUCUCAGUUUUCAUGCCACAAUUUUUUACUUUAAACAAGCAUUGCAUUGUUUUAAACAGUAGCUACUGGAACAAUACUGCCCUUAGUGUUUUAGCUUUUCCAACAACAAUUGGAAUUGGAUAAAUGCUUUCAGCUGGGAGCACUUUCCUAAUACCUUUGUAGGUAAUAGGUUUCCCAGUUUGUGCUGGGUGACAAAAACACAGUGCACCAGAUAGGCCUCCCUGUCCUCUGCAAAGACUGUCAGGAAGUUGAUCAUGGCAUAAAAUGGAGCCUUUCUAUGAGAGUAGGGUAUUUCUUUGUGACCCUGUUUCUUAUUUUGUUUAAAAAAAUGAAUUAACAGAAACAAAACUAAUGUUUCUUGAGGUAUAGCUACCAAGUGAUGACUUAAAAAGGGAUGGAAAAAAGAAAAUGGGGUGGGGUGGAGAUAUAUGGCGAAACAUAAGAGGAAACCGAGGAAAUUUGGUUCAUCAGUGUCUAGACAUGGAAAAACAGGAGAAUGACAGCUUGGUUCUAAUCAUCUGAUCUGAUAAAUGACUUAUUUUUUUUCUUGCCAAUAACUCAGUUAUUUCUAUUAAUUUCACUAUACAUAAAAAGUAUAAUCAGAGGGGGUAAAGACUAAUUCAAAGAUAGCUGUAAUCUUGAAAGACUUCUAAAAGCAGGAAAAAACCCAAGUAUGUGAUCUCAACAUUAUAUUUUUAGAAGGAUAAUGUAUGUUUUAUUAAACAAAUUUCCUUUAUAAUGUCAUUUAUAGAGUCGAACAAGAUAUAUCAAAAAGUAUUGUGCUUUUCCAAACUGUGAUUAAACUUGAAUAAUCAAAUAUUUCCAUAAAGACCAGCUAGCUGAAAAAAAAGUGAGAAAACUUCUUUUAGCAAGAAAUUCAGCUACUGUUAUUAAGACAAAUUAGGCAAAGCAGAAAAUUGCCUUCAAGUAUAUCUAAUAACUUCUUUUUAACUCCAUUGUUUUUUUCUUUUUCUUUAUAUAUCUAAUACUUAAUAGUGUAAUGCCUGCCAUAUAGUGAGCAUUUAACAAAUGUUUAUUGAUUGAUGUGCUACCGUUGUAUGCUAUAUGUGUAUUAUGCUUUUAAUGUAAUUUCCAUUUUAUUUUUCUUCAACUAAUAAUCAUUUAUUUUCUCUCCUACACAUUUGUCAAAUCAAACAACUUCCCACAAUGACCAUGUUCAGAAAUGUAUGCUUCAUCUUGUAUCUUGAGUCUAUUAUCUUUUGUCAGGAGAUGGGUUCUGAUUUUAAAAUAAAGAUUAUUCCAGUUUUCAAGUUUAAUCAACUUUGUUUUUCUAUGUAUAUGGAAAUAUUUAUAAGUACAGAAUAAAAAAAGAAAGAAAAUAAAAAAGAGCAAAGAUUAUUUUGAUAGCUUUCAAAUGAUUUUUUUCUAAUAAGAAGCUUAUCAGGUACAUAUUUCUCUUUGAUGACAAGAAUCACAUAUUGUGUUUAUCAGUUGAUAUGAUUAGCUAUUUUAUUGUAGCUUCUCAGUUGUAGCUCAGAGAAAAGGCAGUGUGUAUAAUGGAAAGAACCUAAUGUUUGGAUUCAGAGUACAUGGCUUUAGCUACCUGUAUUACCUUGGGCAAGUCAACCUGACUAACCCUGCUUGAAUUUUCUCAUCUGUAAAAGAGGGUACUGGAAUUCAUGUUCUUCUGAUUAUAAAUUCUGUAUUACACACACACACACAUAUACAUAAAUAUACACAUACACAUAUAUUUCAGAAACACCAAAAUAAAAUUGGCAGAACCAGGAAAACAAUAAACAAAAUGAGUAUAAUAAUACAAAUGGAAAUAACUCAAAAGUAUUGGGUUUUGUGUAUUUCUGAUGGCCAAACUUGCCUCUGGAGAAGAACUGGGAAAAUAUAUCUCCUUCCCUUUAUCAUAGAAGUGGUGGUGGUUGGGACUAUAAAUAUGGAACAUUACAUACAUUGUCAGAUGAUGUCUGUGUUUUGGGUGAUUUUCUUGAGCUGUUUUCUAAUUUUUUAAACGACAGACGAUCAUCUAGGAAAGAAAGGGGAGGAGGAGUGCAUUCAGAAACAGAUAUAUAAAAAAGGGCUUUAAUAAAAGUUCAUCUUAAAAAUAAUAAAGGAAGAACUCAGUUAUUGUGUAUAUAGAGGAAAGGGAGGAAAUAAAAUUUAUCAGUAGGAAGGCAGGAAUGAUGACAAACUUGCUUUUAAUUUUGAAUUCAUGAUUAUUUGGAUUGUAAUUUGUAUUUUUUUUUGAAAGAGAGAUCAAGUUUGGACCUGUGUUUUCAUCACUGUAUAAAACUUCUUCUAUGAAAGUAGAUUCAUUACAGCCUAAUUUAUAGCCAAGAGAGUUGUUGGGAAUGGGAUAAGGUUGGGAACUGAGAGGGUAAGUGAUUUGCCCAUGAUCACACAGUAAUAUUACACCAGGGGCAAGGCUUGGAUCUUCAUCUUCCUUACUUGAACAACAACUUUCUCCAGUACUACAUACAACCUCUUCAUGGUAUUGAAAUGUAUAAUUACUUGUUCUUGACAAACUUUGUAAUUAGUAAUACCUUAUAAAGCAUAGAUUGAGAAAUUUAUAAGUGGUUUGACUAAGAAUUCAGUAGUUUUAAAUUUCUGUUUUAUGUAUACAUAUUUAUUAAUAAUCACAGUAAAAACUUUAUUCUCAAAAACAUUGUUUUUAUGUAUUUAUUUGACUUAAUUCUCUCUCACUAUCCCCAACCAACAUCAUUUUACACUUGCUAAUGUUUGCUUAAAAAAAUUAACAGCAAUAAACUUUUGCUACCCAAUGUGGAAGGCUAUUUCUAAAACACCAAACCUUUCC
This 10382-nucleotide long non-coding RNA is filed under the name Sarcophilus harrisii (Tasmanian devil). RNAcentral's name for it is "lncRNA (ENSSHAG00000026013.1)". Lineage: Eukaryota; Metazoa; Chordata; Mammalia; Dasyuromorphia; Dasyuridae. The record is from RNAcentral.